UUAAGCGACUAAGCGUACACGGUGGAUGCCCUGGCAGUCAGAGGCGAUGAAGGACGUGCUAAUCUGCGAUAAGCGUCGGUAAGGUGAUAUGAACCGUUAUAACCGGCGAUUUCCGAAUGGGGAAACCCAGUGUGUUUCGACACACUAUCAUUAACUGAAUCCAUAGGUUAAUGAGGCGAACCGGGGGAACUGAAACAUCUAAGUACCCCGAGGAAAAGAAAUCAACCGAGAUUCCCCCAGUAGCGGCGAGCGAACGGGGAGCAGCCCAGAGCCUGAAUCAGUGUGUGUGUUAGUGGAAGCGUCUGGAAAGGCGCGCGAUACAGGGUGACAGCCCCGUACACAAAAAUGCACAUAUUGUGAGCUCGAUGAGUAGGGCGGGACACGUGGUAUCCUGUCUGAAUAUGGGGGGACCAUCCUCCAAGGCUAAAUACUCCUGACUGACCGAUAGUGAACCAGUACCGUGAGGGAAAGGCGAAAAGAACCCCGGCGAGGGGAGUGAAAAAGAACCUGAAACCGUGUACGUACAAGCAGUGGGAGCCUCUUUUAUGGGGUGACUGCGUACCUUUUGUAUAAUGGGUCAGCGACUUAUAUUCUGUAGCAAGGUUAACCGAAUAGGGGAGCCGAAGGGAAACCGAGUCUUAACUGGGCGUUAAGUUGCAGGGUAUAGACCCGAAACCCGGUGAUCUAGCCAUGGGCAGGUUGAAGGUUGGGUAACACUAACUGGAGGACCGAACCGACUAAUGUUGAAAAAUUAGCGGAUGACUUGUGGCUGGGGGUGAAAGGCCAAUCAAACCGGGAGAUAGCUGGUUCUCCCCGAAAGCUAUUUAGGUAGCGCCUCGUGAAUUCAUCUCCGGGGGUAGAGCACUGUUUCGGCAAGGGGGUCAUCCCGACUUACCAACCCGAUGCAAACUGCGAAUACCGGAGAAUGUUAUCACGGGAGACACACGGCGGGUGCUAACGUCCGUCGUGAAGAGGGAAACAACCCAGACCGCCAGCUAAGGUCCCAAAGUCAUGGUUAAGUGGGAAACGAUGUGGGAAGGCCCAGACAGCCAGGAUGUUGGCUUAGAAGCAGCCAUCAUUUAAAGAAAGCGUAAUAGCUCACUGGUCGAGUCGGCCUGCGCGGAAGAUGUAACGGGGCUAAACCAUGCACCGAAGCUGCGGCAGCGACGCUGAUGCGUUGUUGGGUAGGGGAGCGUUCUGUAAGCCUGUGAAGGUGUGCUGUGAGGCAUGCUGGAGGUAUCAGAAGUGCGAAUGCUGACAUAAGUAACGAUAAAGCGGGUGAAAAGCCCGCUCGCCGGAAGACCAAGGGUUCCUGUCCAACGUUAAUCGGGGCAGGGUGAGUCGACCCCUAAGGCGAGGCCGAAAGGCGUAGUCGAUGGGAAACAGGUUAAUAUUCCUGUACUUGGUGUUACUGCGAAGGGGGGACGGAGAAGGCUAUGUUGGCCGGGCGACGGUUGUCCCGGUUUAAGCGUGUAGGCUGGUUUUCCAGGCAAAUCCGGAAAAUCAAGGCUGAGGCGUGAUGACGAGGCACUACGGUGCUGAAGCAACAAAUGCCCUGCUUCCAGGAAAAGCCUCUAAGCAUCAGGUAACAUCAAAUCGUACCCCAAACCGACACAGGUGGUCAGGUAGAGAAUACCAAGGCGCUUGAGAGAACUCGGGUGAAGGAACUAGGCAAAAUGGUGCCGUAACUUCGGGAGAAGGCACGCUGAUAUGUAGGUGAAGUCCCUCGCGGAUGGAGCUGAAAUCAGUCGAAGAUACCAGCUGGCUGCAACUGUUUAUUAAAAACACAGCACUGUGCAAACACGAAAGUGGACGUAUACGGUGUGACGCCUGCCCGGUGCCGGAAGGUUAAUUGAUGGGGUUAGCGCAAGCGAAGCUCUUGAUCGAAGCCCCGGUAAACGGCGGCCGUAACUAUAACGGUCCUAAGGUAGCGAAAUUCCUUGUCGGGUAAGUUCCGACCUGCACGAAUGGCGUAAUGAUGGCCAGGCUGUCUCCACCCGAGACUCAGUGAAAUUGAACUCGCUGUGAAGAUGCAGUGUACCCGCGGCAAGACGGAAAGACCCCGUGAACCUUUACUAUAGCUUGACACUGAACAUUGAGCCUUGAUGUGUAGGAUAGGUGGGAGGCUUAGAAGUGUGGACGCCAGUCUGCAUGGAGCCGACCUUGAAAUACCACCCUUUAAUGUUUGAUGUUCUAACGUGGACCCGUGAUCCGGGUUGCGGACAGUGUCUGGUGGGUAGUUUGACUGGGGCGGUCUCCUCCUAAAGAGUAACGGAGGAGCACGAAGGUUGGCUAAUCCUGGUCGGACAUCAGGAGGUUAGUGCAAUGGCAUAAGCCAGCUUGACUGCGAGCGUGACGGCGCGAGCAGGUGCGAAAGCAGGUCAUAGUGAUCCGGUGGUUCUGAAUGGAAGGGCCAUCGCUCAACGGAUAAAAGGUACUCCGGGGAUAACAGGCUGAUACCGCCCAAGAGUUCAUAUCGACGGCGGUGUUUGGCACCUCGAUGUCGGCUCAUCACAUCCUGGGGCUGAAGUAGGUCCCAAGGGUAUGGCUGUUCGCCAUUUAAAGUGGUACGCGAGCUGGGUUUAGAACGUCGUGAGACAGUUCGGUCCCUAUCUGCCGUGGGCGCUGGAGAACUGAGGGGGGCUGCUCCUAGUACGAGAGGACCGGAGUGGACGCAUCACUGGUGUUCGGGUUGUCAUGCCAAUGGCACUGCCCGGUAGCUAAAUGCGGAAGAGAUAAGUGCUGAAAGCAUCUAAGCACGAAACUUGCCCCGAGAUGAGUUCUCCCUGACCCUUUAAGGGUCCUGAAGGAACGUUGAAGACGACGACGUUGAUAGGCCGGGUGUGUAAGCGCAGCGAUGCGUUGAGCUAACCGGUACUAAUGAACCGUGAGGCUUAACCUU
Molecule: ribosomal RNA, 2902 nt
Filed under: Escherichia coli
Lineage: Bacteria; Pseudomonadati; Pseudomonadota; Gammaproteobacteria; Enterobacterales; Enterobacteriaceae
Description: bacterial LSU rRNA
Rfam family: Bacterial large subunit ribosomal RNA
Source: RNAcentral